GCUCAUUUGGCCGAGUGGUUAAGGCGGCGCACUGCUAAUGCGUUGGGUUCAUCCCGCGUAGGUUCGAAUCCUACAGUGGGCG
Molecule: transfer RNA, 82 nt
Filed under: compost metagenome
Description: tRNA-Ser
Rfam family: tRNA
About the family: Transfer RNA (tRNA) molecules are approximately 80 nucleotides in length. Their secondary structure includes four short double-helical elements and three loops (D, anti-codon, and T loops).
Source: RNAcentral